RNAcentral lists this ribosomal RNA (363 nucleotides) under Triticum aestivum (bread wheat). RNAcentral describes it as "partial small subunit ribosomal RNA". Lineage: Eukaryota; Viridiplantae; Streptophyta; Magnoliopsida; Poales; Poaceae. The record is from RNAcentral.
AUGGAUUGUUACGCAGAUGUCUUAACAGCAGAAGCGUUGGCUCUAAGAUCUGGCUUAUCACUUGCACAGAGGGCGGGAUGUAAUCGUCUUGUUGUUGACUCCGACAAUGUGGAAGUAGUUGACACUGUGAAUAAUGGAGGACAUUCAGUGGGAGUGGCGGCGGCAGUUUUUGAUGAUUGUUAUUUUAUGGUGUGCGAUUUUCUGCGUAUUAGUUUUGAGCAUUGUAAUAGGAAAGCAAAUAAAGUUGCUCACGAACUUGCUAGAUUAGAUAGAUUUUCUGUGACUAGAGAUUGUUUUGAGGAACCUAUGGAUGAGAUUGUAACUUUUCUUAUUAACGAUAAAAUUGUUAUUUCCAAUGAAUAA